Molecule: small nucleolar RNA, 131 nt
Organism: Mastomys coucha (southern multimammate mouse)
Lineage: Eukaryota; Metazoa; Chordata; Mammalia; Rodentia; Muridae
Product: small nucleolar RNA SNORA17
Exons: 1
Source: RefSeq, a predicted model, not a curated record
CCAGCCCCAGAGGCAUUGCAGGUGUGGUUGUUGUGUCAUGUGUGGGUCUUUAGGUGGCAGAGAGGAGAAAGGCCAUGUCCAUGCUUAAUGUUCUGACCUGUAAAUAUCUGAAUGGUUAAUAGCCUAAGAUU